GUGUGGCUCACAACAUAACUACUCCUGUUGCUUCUACAGCUAGGGGUCUAAUCGGAACUGUUGCCGCUGGCCUACGCUAGAGACACAGCAACACCAGAUUUGAGCCAUGUCUGCGACCUACACCACAGCUCACGGCAACACCAGAUCUUUAACCCGCUGAGUGAGGCCAAGGAUUGAACCCACAACCUCAUGGUUCUUAGUUGGAUUUAUUUCCACUGUACCAGGAAGGGAACUACAGGAGACACUACUUUCUUAAAGUGACCCAGUGAGGAAGUAAAUUACCAUAACAUCCCAAUACUUAAAGCAAAAUGCCAAAGUUCACUUUUUUUAAUGUUAAAAAUUUUAAAAGAAACUUUUAAAAGAGUAUUAGUAGGACAUUUAUCCUGGAUGUUCUAGUUUUUUAUUUAAUCUAACAUAGCACAGGUUUGGUUUUUUUUUUUUUUUUUUUUUUUUUUUUAAGGCAAGUUACUUCUUGCUGAGUAUGAUUUUUAUUUCUGUGGACCUUGGCCAGUGAUAGUAACAUAAAAUAUUUUCUGUUAUCUUUUUAAUAAUCAUAGCCCCUGAUCAUAUGGUAGAUGCUUAAAAAAUAACUUACAGUGUUUUUCUGAGGUCUUUCAUAAUGAAAUUGUGUCUGGAUGGCUGACGUUUUUGUGUUUAUGUGUUUAGAAGGAGAUUUUAAGGAUGUGCCAUUACUAUUUCUGGUUCUCCCCAUCCAGACCAUGCAGAUUACACUUCCCAUCUUGAUGUCGGUCAGGGUCACGUGACUUGCUUUUGCUAAUGAAAAGUAAGUAAAAAAGACGCAUUUAAGGGUUGGCGUACACUUCUCCAUGCCCUCUUCUCCUCUGGUUAAUCCAUGUUGGUAUCAUAAAAAUGUUGGAAAUUCAUUCAUCCUGGAAUCCUGCAUGACACUUAUAGAACAUAGCCUCUGUCAGCUAACCUGUGUUCUUCAUGAGACAUAAGUGAUAAUAAAAUUUGUUCCUCUAAGCAGAGGUUGCCAAACUUUUUUUUUUUUUUUUUCUGAAAAAGACAAGAUAGUAAAUGCUUUUGACUUUGUGGAUCAUACAGUCCCUGUUACAACUAGGCAACUCUGCCAUUGUAGAGCAAAAGCCAUCAUGGACAAUAAGUAAAAUCAAAAACAAAAACAAAAUACCAUGGGCAUUUCAAUAAAAUUUUAUUUAUAAAAGUAAGUAGCAGACACACAUUUUACUAACACAUGCUUUAAGCUUCAGAGUUAAGUUUGUUAUGCAGCAUAACCUAGUUCAUACUGUCUAUACUUUACCAAGGGAAUUUGUGUGAGAUCUGAACAAAUGUAGUGACAAUUUGUGGUUCUCUGUGAGAAUAUUUGUUUAAAAAAGGACCACAUAAAAUUGAUUUGGGUUCAGAUUUUUACUUAAUCAGAAAUCAAAAAAUUAGGGACACAAAAAUGCAUAGAACAGAUGUUUAAGAAAAAGCAUUUCAAACAUUUAGAAAUUUUCAUCAAAAUGAAACUUUCAGAAAAGAACACCAAAAGAAAGACUAUUUGAGAGGCUGUGACAAAGGCCAGGGAAUGAAUUAUGUCUAAGCAAGUGUCCACGGGAAGAGGCUUCCUUACUUCUUCCAUAUCACUUAAAUCCUAAUAUAAGGAAAUUUGGGUUCAGGAGAUAAUUUUUGAAGUUUACAAAGAGCCAAAAGUAGUCUUCUGGGACACAGUAACUUUUUAUUUCUCAGAGUUCACUGCCAGCCAAUUCUUUAGCUGUGCACUCUUUGUCAAAAUGUAUCUACUUGCAUAUUUGUAAUGUGGCCUUUUCUGUACAUACAUUACACUUCAUCAGAAAGUUGUUAACAUGAAUUAUUUAAUGAAAUAAAGUGGAGGAAAUCAUUUCUGAAGUGUUGCAUAAUAAAUGCCCAGUUAGUUUUAAGAGUGAUUUGUAAAGUGUGAUUAUUGUGUCAGUAAACUUCAGCUUUCUAUAAACCAGUCAGUGGUUCUCUGGGUGAUGCUGUAUUUGUGAAUUGGAUCUUGAACUCCCUCAUUUUCUAAAUAAGUACUUUUCUUGGUCAACCUCAAAACUAUUGGAUAUCUCUUUGGUGAGAAAAAUGUACCAAAUUUUCUCCUUUCAUUAGCAGAGAGAGUUCUCUCAGCCAAAUUUAUUACAUUCCUCAGAAUUUCUGUC
RNAcentral lists this long non-coding RNA (2150 nucleotides) under Sus scrofa (pig). RNAcentral describes it as "lncRNA (ENSSSCG00040033334.1)". Lineage: Eukaryota; Metazoa; Chordata; Mammalia; Artiodactyla; Suidae. The record is from RNAcentral.